UACGUAGGGUGCGAGCGUUAAUCGGAAUUACUGGGCGUAAAGGGUGCGCAGGCGGUCUCGUAAGCUGGGUGUGAAAGCCCCGGGCUUAACCUGGGAAUGGCAUUCAGGACUGCGAGGCUUUGAGUGCGGCAGAGGGAGGUGGAAUUCCACGUGUAGCAGUGAAAUGCGUAGAGAUGUGGAGGAACACCAGUGGCGAAGGCGACUCUUUGGCCUGUAACUGACGCUGAGGCGCGAAAGCGUGGGGAGCAAACAGG
This 254-nucleotide ribosomal RNA is filed under the name uncultured bacterium. RNAcentral's name for it is "partial 16S ribosomal RNA". It matches the Rfam family "Bacterial small subunit ribosomal RNA", at positions 524 to 776 of the family's 1533-position model. The record is from RNAcentral.